RNAcentral lists this ribosomal RNA (253 nucleotides) under uncultured bacterium. RNAcentral describes it as "partial 16S ribosomal RNA". It matches the Rfam family "Bacterial small subunit ribosomal RNA", at positions 524 to 776 of the family's 1533-position model. The record is from RNAcentral.
UACGUAGGGUGCAAGCGUUAAUCGGAAUUACUGGGCGUAAAGCGUGCGCAGGUGGCUAUGCAAGACAGAUGUGAAAUCCCCGGGCUCAACCUGGGAAUUGCAUCUGUGACUGCAUAGCUAGAGUACGGUAGAGGGGGAUGGAAUUCCGCGUGUAGCAGUGAAAUGCGUAGAUAUGCGGAGGAACACCGAUGGCGAAGGCAAUCCCCUGGACCUGUACUGACGCUCAUGCACGAAAGCGUGGGGAGCAAACAGG